Molecule: transfer RNA, 76 nt
Filed under: Rheinheimera lutimaris
Lineage: Bacteria; Pseudomonadati; Pseudomonadota; Gammaproteobacteria; Chromatiales; Chromatiaceae
Also listed under: 1 other name
Description: Rheinheimera sp. YQF-2 tRNA-Asp
Rfam family: tRNA
About the family: Transfer RNA (tRNA) molecules are approximately 80 nucleotides in length. Their secondary structure includes four short double-helical elements and three loops (D, anti-codon, and T loops). Further hydrogen bonds mediate the characteristic L-shaped molecular structure. tRNAs have two regions of fundamental functional importance: the anti-codon, which is responsible for specific mRNA codon recognition, and the 3' end, to which the tRNAs corresponding amino acid is attached (by aminoacyl-tRNA synthetases). tRNAs cope with the degeneracy of the genetic code in two manners: having more than one tRNA (with a specific anti-codon) for a particular amino acid; and 'wobble' base-pairing, i.e. permitting non-standard base-pairing at the 3rd anti-codon position.
Source: RNAcentral
GUCCCCUUCGUCUAGAGGCCUAGGACACCGCCCUGUCACGGCGGUAACAGGGGUUCGAAUCCCCUAGGGGACGCCA